GCCAGUGUGAUGUAGUGGUUUGAGCGCUUGACUGCAGCUCUGGAGACCAGGGUUCGAUUCCCUGCCCGACCA
Molecule: non-coding RNA, 72 nt
Organism: Phrynosoma platyrhinos (Desert horned lizard)
Lineage: Eukaryota; Metazoa; Chordata; Lepidosauria; Squamata; Phrynosomatidae
Source: the annotation of a GenBank genome assembly